GUUUCCGUAGUGUAGCGGUUAUCACGUGUGCUUCACACGCACAAGGUCCCCCGGUUCGAUCCCCGGGGCGGAAAACA
Molecule: transfer RNA, 77 nt
Filed under: Heliconius melpomene (postman butterfly)
Lineage: Eukaryota; Metazoa; Arthropoda; Insecta; Lepidoptera; Nymphalidae
Description: tRNA HMEL005371
Rfam family: tRNA
About the family: Transfer RNA (tRNA) molecules are approximately 80 nucleotides in length. Their secondary structure includes four short double-helical elements and three loops (D, anti-codon, and T loops). Further hydrogen bonds mediate the characteristic L-shaped molecular structure. tRNAs have two regions of fundamental functional importance: the anti-codon, which is responsible for specific mRNA codon recognition, and the 3' end, to which the tRNAs corresponding amino acid is attached (by aminoacyl-tRNA synthetases). tRNAs cope with the degeneracy of the genetic code in two manners: having more than one tRNA (with a specific anti-codon) for a particular amino acid; and 'wobble' base-pairing, i.e. permitting non-standard base-pairing at the 3rd anti-codon position.
Source: RNAcentral